GAUGAAGAACGCAGCGAAAUGCGAUAAGGAAUGUGAAUUGCAGAAUUCAGUGAAUCAUCGAAUCUUUGAACGCACAUUGCGCCCGUCAGUAUUCUGGCGGGCAUGCCUGUUCGAGCGUCAUUACGCCCCUCAAGUCCCCUGUGGACUUGGUGUUGGGGAUCGGCGAGGCUGGUUUUCCAGCACAGCCGUCCCUUAAAUUAAUUGGCGGUCUCGCCGUGGCCCUCCUCUGCGCAGUAGUAAAACACUCGCAACAGGAGCCCGGCGCGGUCCACUGCCGUAAAACCCCCCAACUUUUUAUAGUUGACCUCGAAUCAGGUAGGACUACCCGCUGAACUUAAGCAUAUCAAUAAGCGGAGGA
RNAcentral lists this unclassified non-coding RNA (358 nucleotides) under soil metagenome. Its description in RNAcentral is "partial contains 5.8S ribosomal RNA, internal transcribed spacer 2, and large subunit ribosomal RNA". The stretch from base 1 to 120 matches the Rfam family "5.8S ribosomal RNA", at positions 35 to 154 of the family's 154-position model. The record is from RNAcentral.